Cyprinus carpio (common carp) is the source of this 5883-nucleotide long non-coding RNA. Lineage: Eukaryota; Metazoa; Chordata; Actinopteri; Cypriniformes; Cyprinidae. The record is from Ensembl.
AUGAUGGAUCCUGAUGAGGAGAUUGUUAGUGGUGCUCGUCCUAAACGUCAUACUCGUCCACCAGCUCACCUUCAGCAGUAUGAAGUACAGUAUACCCGAGUCAGACCUGUCGCUGAGUAUGAUGUUCCGCAUCCUUUGGAGGCACCUGUCCGCCGGACUACCCCCCUAUCCUUCCAGCCUUACGCCACUCCCCCUGGUGGUGACCUGGUCUGUUCUGAUGGCUCACAGAUCAUAGCCUCAAAUUAUCAGCCUCCACAGCAUGCUGAAUUCCAUCAGUCAUCCUUCUCCUCGCCUCAAGCAGCUGGUUUGAUUUCCUCUGCACACGGCAGUGAAUUAGAGCACCUGCGUCAUGAGCAUGCACAACUUAUUCAGACUCAUCAGGCUUUCCAAGCAGACCUGAGGGAGCUGAGAGAAGUCCGUGCGGAAGUCAGAGAAUUAGUUCAAGUUGCUCAGUCACUUCGAGCUGACCUUAGUCUAACCAGAGGCCAGAAUCUCUCAUCAGCACAGCCACCAGCAUUGCAGCUAUCCAGUCCUCCUGUGAGGCGGUAUGAAUCCACACCUUUCGCGGAUGAGGGAAAUUUUGCGGAUCUUCCCCCACCACCCUGGCCUGAGCCUGACGUUGACUGGAUGAACCAGGUGGGUGACCUUACACUCUCCGACACGGGCGCCACUGUUUACCACCCAGUGAUGCCAGAGAAUAGAAAGUAUUCCUUUGUGUUCCCGGCUACUGAAACACGCCCUCCUAAGCCUUAUGCUCCUGACACUGGCGGGUUCCCCCCACCUCCAACCCCUAAAGAGCUUCGAGAGUUACUCACAUCUGCGGCCAUGCCCUUACCUGCUAACCGCACAACCGUGCCUGUUUCUUCACGAUUCAGUUCAGUACCUGCUCAUUUGAAUCCUCCAUCCUUUGCACCAAAGGCAGAGCCCGGCCUAUGUUCUGUAGCACCUCAUUCUAGGUCUGAAUAUUUAUACCGGGGACCUUCUCCCACGAUUCCUAAGUUCAGCCGGUCUGAUCCUGGCGAGUUUGCUCGGCUCCGGAUAGCUCUGGAGAACCUGCUUCCCCCAGAUGGGACUGAACUUUUCAAAUAUCAGAUCUUAGUGGAUCACCUUAAGCUGGAGGAGGCUAGAAUGAUAGCAGAUGCUUAUCUUAACUCACCAACUCCAUUCACUGAUACGAUGGCAGCACUUCAUGAUAAAUUUGGUCAACCACAUCAGCUAGCUUUAAGGAAGAUUGCUAGUGUCCUUGAGAGUCCUGACAUAAAGAGAGGCGAUAUAUCAGCCUUCCAAAGGUUUGCUCUCCAAGUGCAGUCAUUAGUGGGCCUAUUGAGAACUCUGGGACGUGAUGGUGAGCUGGAGUUGAGUUGUGGGUCCCACGUCGCACGCCUCCUGAGUAAGCUACCCCCUGAGCAGAGAGCUGAGUUUCGUCGACAUAUGUUCCGCCAACCUGGCACAACCCCUAAUCUGACUGAUCUUUCAAACUGGCUUCGUUACGAAACUUGGUGCCACAGUUAUGAUACUGAGCCGAUGCCCAAGGGUUCACAUGCAAAAUCAGAUUCAGGGAAGAGAACUGUGACCAUCCUACAUGGAGUUGGAGAAUCCCUGGUUGAGUCUCCCGUCCAUCAUAAAGGUCCUGUUUCACAGACCAAGCCUGCCAAAGUGAAACGUUAUUGUCCUUUCUGUGAUAAGACUGAGCAUUACCUGAGCCAGUGUGCCUCCUUCGCUAAGCUUACCUCAGACCAGGUCAGGACUUGGAUCCGCAGUAACAACCGUUGUUGGCGCUGUGCCAGGGCACACCAUGCUGCUCAGUGUGACCUUAAAAAGCCCUGCAACAUCUGCCAGGGCACCCAUCUCCGCCCUCUCCAUGAGGUGAAUGUUAGUCCAUCCCCAAAGGAGGAUCCAGCUAACAUGGAGAAGAGCUGCCUAACAAAUUCCUCCCCAGAUAGGUUCUUUCUGGAUAAACCCUCUGUCAAAGGACGAGUUAUGCUCAAAGUGGUUCCAGUGAAUCUGCAUUAUGAAGAUCGAUCCUUGGACACCUUCGCUCUUCUUGACGAUGGGUCAGAGAGAACCAUUCUACUCUCCACUGCAGUUAAGGCCUUAGGGAUUCAGGGUAACCCAGAAAAUCUUCCAUUGCGGACAGUGAGAGAUGAUAUUCAGGUCAUUCAUGGUUGCUCUAUUUCCUUUCAAGUCUCUCCCCUCUUUAAACCUCAGAUCAGUUAUAGGAUCAAUCAUGCCUUCACGGCUGAUCGUCUUAACCUGUCACGCCAGUCUUACCCAGUAGAACAGCUACAACAGAAGUACAGACAUCUGCGUGGUAUUCCCCUCCGUCCACUCACUGAUGUCCAACCUUUACUUCUCAUCGGUUCAGAUCAGCCCCAUCUCAUAACCCCAACAGAGCCUGUUCGAUGGGGCGGCCCGGGUGCACCAGCUGCAGUUCACACACGCUUAGGUUGGACACUCCAGGGUCCAAUACCUUCCAUGGGCUGUCCUCCUACCCCACAGCAGUGUCUGCUAACCUCUGUAGCUCCAAUUCAGGAUGAACUCCUUCAGAAUGUUCAACGACUGUGGCAGUUGGAUACGAUUCCACAGUGGGAGGGCAAAGAGGUAACCAGAUCCAAGCAGGAUCAGGAGGCUCUUCAGAUGCUUGACCAUAAGACUCUCACCCUGGAAAUGGAGGGAAUCAACAGGUUGGCUACACCCCUACUGCGGCGAAAGGACAUGCCUUUGUUGAAUGCACCUAAAGAAUCAGUCCUACCUACCCUUCGCAGUGUGGAGAGGCGUCUGCUGAAGGAGCCUGUCAAAGCUGAGGUCUAUAAAGAGGAGAUGAGGAAACUUAUUGAGACAGGAGCUGUUAGGAAGGUGACUGACAAUAUACCUGAUUCAGAUGAAUGCUGGUACAUCCCCCACCAUCUCGUUAGUCACAAUGGGAAGUUCCGCCUUGUCUUUAACUGCUCCUAUCAGUAUCAAGGACAAAGCCUUAAUCAGUACCUGCUGCCAGGCCCCACCCUUGGGGCCUCACUGUUGGGCGUCCUUAUCCGUUUCAGAGAACAUCCUGUGGCAGUGAGUGGGGAUAUUAAGGCGAUGUUCCAUCAGGUUCGCCUUAUACCUGAGGACCGUCCUCUACUCCGUUUCCUUUGGCGGGACCUAAAGAUGGAUGAGGCACCCACAAUUCUUGAGUGGCAGGUAUUACCCUUCGGCACAACAUCCAGUCCUUGUUGUGCUACCUAUGCACUACAGCGUCACGUGCGGCAACACCCCCUGACGGAUGAGGCAAUUAGAUUCUCAGUGGAGAGGUGUUUCUAUGUCGAUAACUGCCUGCAGAGCCUGCCUACUGCAGAUGAAGCUCGGGACUUGAUUGAUCGACUACGGAAUAUCCUUUCCGGAGCUGGAUUCGAAAUUCGCCAAUGGGCCUGCAAUGAUCCUACUGUGCUGAGUCACCUACCUUCCCAUGCACAAGCUGCAAGUGUGGAGUUGUGGUUGACGCAGGAGAAGUCUGACAUCCCUGAAUCGACACUGGGUCUUAGCUGGAACUGGCAGACGGACACUUUGUCCUACAAACACCGACCUGUGAUCUAUGAGACUCCAACUUUGAGGAACCUCUACAAGGUCCUAGCUACCCAGUACGACCCCCUGGGAUGGCUUCUACCUUAUUCCACUCGGGCAAAAGUCAUUAUUAAGCAGCUGUGGAACAAGCCGAGAGGAUGGGAUGACCCCAACCUACCACCUGAGCUCCUCCAGUCCUGGAAUGCAUGGGAGGACGAACUCCAAUACCUUCCUUGCAUCUCCUUUCCCCGGUCUUAUGUUCCUCCUGAAGUUGUGAGGGACGGAGUCACCCAUGAGGUACAUAUCUUCUCGGAUGCCUCUGAGCAGGCAUAUGGAGCGGUGGCCUACCUCCGGACUACUGACCAGGAUGGUCGGACCUACCUGUCCUUCAUUAUAGCACGCUCUCGUGUCACUCCUAAACGAGCUCACUCCAUUCCAAGACUGGAACUCUGUGGUAGUCUAGUUGCGGCACAGCUGGCUAAACUACUGGAGACAGAGUUAACCCUACCAAUCAAAUCUAUUUCCCUGUGGACAGACUCUACUACGGUCCUCCAGUGGUUGAAUUCUGACUCCUGCCGUUAUAGAGUCUUUGUGGGGAACAGAAUCGCUGAGAUCCAGGAGCUGACGGAGAAGUGUUCCUGGCAUCAUGUAAGUUCUGCAGACAACCCCGCUGAUGACCUCACGAAGGGAAGACCUCUCCAAUACCUUGCUGUGCCAAACCGAUGGUCUCAAGGACCCCCUUUCCUCCUCCAAGAUCCCAAGGAAUGGCCAGUAAUCCCUAAGACUGAAACCAGGGAAGACCAGGUUGAAUUACGGAAAUCUACCUUCUGUGGGAUCAGUACCUUUCCGCUCUCAUCUGGUAAGAUUAAUGGAUGGAAUUACAACACCUGGCAAGAACUAUUGGAUGUCACUGCUCAAGAACUUCGGGUCAAUUUGGCUCCAGGGACUUCUCCAGAGGCUGAAGAUUACCGCCAGGCUGAGUUCCAUAUCCUCAAACAGGUUCAGCAGGAAUCUUUCCCUGAGGAUUAUAAACUGUUAGAGACUGGGAAGACAGUUAAGUCCGGGAGUCGAUUAGUUACCCUAGCCCCUGAAAUGGAUCCGUCCAGUGAUCUGAUAAGGGUGGGAGGUCGUUUGCGGAGAACUGCAGGCAUUGAGGACUCCAUUUUACAUCCUCUGGUUCUGGAUCCUAACCACCCUGUCACUCGUUUGAUUAUUCAACAUUAUGAUGACCAGUUGCAUCAUCCUGGAUCGGAACGGUUGUUCGGGGAAAUACGGAGAUACUAUUGGAUUCUCCGAGGUCGCGAAGCUGUCCGCCGGUUUCAACGUGACUGCCCAGAAUGUCAACGUUGGAGGGCCCAACCAACAAUCCCUAAGAUGUCGGAUCUACCGGUGGCGCGCCUUCAGCUAUACAAACCGGCCUUCUAUUCUUGCGGAAUGGACUGCUUUGGCCCCCUGUUAGUCAAAAUUGGAAGACGUACAGAGAAGCGCUGGGGCAUUCUCUUUAAAUGUCUGACCACUAGAGCUGUCCAUUUAGACCUACUCCCUAGCCUGAGUACCGACUCAUUCCUCAUGGCUUUAAGAAGGUUUGUUGCAAGGAGAGGAACGCCAGCAGAAUUAUGGUCAGAUCGAGGUACGAACUUCCGCGGGGGUGAAAGGGAGUUACGGGAAGCUUAUGCUGCUUUGGUUCCUGACGUACAGGGUCAUCUUGCCCGCCAGAGGAUCCACUUCCGCUUUAAUCCUCCAGCGGCCCCUCAUUUUGGUGGAGUUUGGGAGAGGGAAGUGAGAUCGGUUAAAUCUGCCUUAUACACAGUUUUGGGUGCACAGUCAGUACCAGAGGAAGUCUUAAUGACGGUCUUGCUGGAAGUGGAGGCCAUCCUUAAUUCAAAACCCUUAGGAUACGUGUCGUCAGACGUGGCAGAUGCUGACCCAGUAACUCCAAAUAGUCUCCUCAUGGGGCGGCCUGAUGGAUCUCUGCCGCAAGUCGUUUAUCCAGAAUCAGAGAUAUUAAGUCGCCGGCACUGGAGACAUUCUCAGGUCCUAGCGGACCGAUUCUGGUCCAGGUUCAUACGGGACUACCUCCCUAGCCUCCAAACCCGGCAGAAAUGGCAAACCUCUCCUCCCAGCCUAAAGGAACAGACAUUUGUUGUGAUUGUAGACCCCCAACUACCGCGAAGCUCAUGGCCUGUAGGACAAGUGAUCAAGACUCACCAAAGCCCAGAUGGUCAUAUCAGAUCAGCUGAUGUGUUGAUAAAGGGUCAAGUUUAUACCCGACCGGUAGCUCGCCUGGUCAUCUUGCCGGCCUUACCAAAGGAUGGACUUAAUGCCCCAACACUGACUAGUUAA